Molecule: unclassified non-coding RNA, 376 nt
Filed under: Oceanobacillus oncorhynchi
Lineage: Bacteria; Bacillati; Bacillota; Bacilli; Caryophanales; Bacillaceae
Description: cspA
Source: RNAcentral
CAUUUUUUUAUGAAAGGGGUUAAAAUAAUACUUGCAAAAGGUAAUUGGAGUUACAAGAAUACUUUACGAUCUCUUUUUCAAGACGGUGUAAAAGUAUUUAAGUUUCAAUGACUUUGCAUAUCUUGUAUAAGGAGGUCAUGAUAAUGACUGGUAAAGUAAAAUGGUUUAAUGCAGAAAAAGGUUUUGGUUUCAUCGAGCGUGAAGACGGAGAUGACGUAUUUGUACACUUCUCUGCAAUUCAAGCUGAAGGAUUCAAAACUCUUGAAGAAGGUCAAGAUGUUGAAUUCGAAAUCGUAGAAGGCAACCGUGGCCCGCAAGCUGCAAACGUUGUUCGUCUUUAAUUCGAAUGAUAUAAAACGCUGGAUAAGCCAGCUAA